CCUACGGGAGGCUGCAGUGGGGAAUAUUGCACAAUGGGGGAAACCCUGAUGCAGCGACGCCGCGUGCGUGAAGAAGUAUCUCGGUAUGUAAAGCUCUAUCAGCAGGGAAGAAAAUGACGGUACCUGAUUAAGAAGCCCCGGCUAAAUACGUGCCAGCAGCCGCGGUACUACGUAGGGGGCAAGCGUCAUCCGGAUUUCCUGGGUGUUAAGGGAGGGUAGACGGCAGGACAAGUCUGGAGUGAAAUGCCGGGGCUUAACCCCGGAACUGCUUUGGAAACUGUGCGGCUAGAGUGCAGGAGAGGUAAGUGGAAUUCGUGGUGUAGCGGUGAAAUGCGUAGAUAUUAGGAGGAACACCAGUGGCGAAGGCGGCUUACUGGACUGUAACUGACGUUGAGGCUCGAAAGCGUGGGGAGCAAACAGGAUUAGAUACCCCAGUAGUC
This 440-nucleotide ribosomal RNA is filed under the name uncultured bacterium. Its description in RNAcentral is "partial 16S ribosomal RNA". It matches the Rfam family "Bacterial small subunit ribosomal RNA", at positions 338 to 795 of the family's 1533-position model. The record is from RNAcentral.